GUUGUAUUUCAGGUGGUAAGCUUUAAUGUGACAUUUGAUUUCAAUUUCUCAAGAUGUGUAAUUUCGGUGUGCAUACACACAUUUUAUUUAUGUUUAUGUUUUCUAAUUUUUUUUUAAAUUUUCUUUUAUAUUUUUCUACAAACUAACAACUAAAUAUCUAUAAAUUUUCGAACAGCUUUAAGAGUUUGUUUUCACCCAGCAGAGGGCGUUCUUCUCAUUUCUGUAGUCCUCAUGAACACAAUGAGCUCAAGACUCAUCAUGGAAGGUCAAAUCUUGCCACAGGGUGGCGCUCCAGACUUAAAUCACAGUGUUUCAGUGAGGAAAAGACACAUCUGAGUUUGUCAUUUCAUUCCAUCAUGCUGCUCUGUGCACUUGGAAUAUUUGCAGUACUUGCAGGAGACUCUGUUGGUGAUGUAAUAACAUCUCGUGAUUCUGAAAAAGAAGCUCAAGAUGGUAACAGUGUUUCUCUCUCCUGCAACUACAGUGGUUCUGUUUUCAAUCUACUGUGGUAUCGUCAGUAUCAGAGAUCCAAACCAGAACUCCUUCUCUCCAUCACUGAAUCUGGAGAUGCAGUUAAAGCAGAUCCAUCAGCCCACUGGUUUUCUGCUACAGUUGACAAACUCAAAAAGCUCUUGGAACUGAAAAUCAGUCCUGCUAAAGUAUCAGACUCUGCUGUGUAUUACUGUGCUCUGGUGCCCACAGUGACAGGAAACCCUUCUACACUGUACAAAAACCUGAGAUGCUGAAAAAUACAUUAAUAACAUCUUGAGAAAACUUUCUAAACUUUUAAACAAUAUCAGAAUGAUGACAUCUGAUAUUGAACAAAGCGUUUAUCUCUUUGUCUCGUCACACGUAUACAAGCCCAGUAUUUAUCAGAGAGUAAAGACUCAGAGGGUGGAGCUCUUUCACUAAGAGGGUGAUCCAAAGUUUCUCUGCGUUUACUGACUUUGUCAUCACUCUUUCUCCAAAGA
Megalobrama amblycephala (Wuchang bream) is the source of this 971-nucleotide non-coding RNA. The record is from the annotation of a RefSeq genome assembly. NCBI's taxonomy places the organism in Eukaryota, Metazoa, Chordata, Actinopteri, Cypriniformes, Xenocyprididae.